This 542-nucleotide ribosomal RNA is filed under the name uncultured bacterium. RNAcentral describes it as "bacterial SSU rRNA". It matches the Rfam family "Bacterial small subunit ribosomal RNA", at positions 367 to 916 of the family's 1533-position model. The record is from RNAcentral.
CUCAUGGGAGAAUCCUGAAGCAGCACGCCGCGUGGAGGAUGAAAUACUUUUGUAUGUAAACUCCUGUAAGAAGGGAAAAAUAUGCAAUUAUUUCGCGUUGAUUGUACCUUCAGAGUAAGCCCCGGCUAACUACGUGCCAGCAGCCGCGGUAAUACGUAGGGGGCUAGAGUUGUCCGGAUUUACUGGGUGUAAAGGGUGCUCAGGCGGAUUUGUAAGUCAGAGGUGAAAUCCCAAAGCUUAACUUUGGAGCUGCCUUUGAUACUGCAAGUCUUGAGUGUGAGAGAGGGUAAUGGAAUAUCUGGUGUAGCAGUGAAAUGCGUAGAUAUCAGAUAGAACACCAAUGGCGAAGGCAGUUACCUGGCUCAAUACUGACGCUAAAGCACGAAAGUGUGGGGAGCAAACAGGAUUAGAUACCCUGGUAGUCCACGCCCUAAACGAUGCUAACUCGAUGUUUCGCCGUAAGGUGGAGCAUCCAAGCAAAUGCGAUAAGUUAGCCACGUGGGGAGUACGCCCGCAAGGGUGAAACUYAAAGGAAUUGACGG